RNAcentral lists this unclassified non-coding RNA (3528 nucleotides) under Ceratitis capitata (Mediterranean fruit fly). RNAcentral describes it as "striatin-3, transcript variant X9". The record is from RNAcentral. Lineage: Eukaryota; Metazoa; Arthropoda; Insecta; Diptera; Tephritidae.
UGAUUUAUUUCUAUGCAGACACUCGGCCAACCCACGGAUGUGUCUGAUACUUAAUGUAUUGGGAUGAGGAUGACUACUUGAAUUCAAUGUUAAAAUUGUCUAUAAGUGACUAAUAAUUUGUAUAAUAUUAAAGUUUAAAUAACGGGAAACUUUUGAUUGGCGAUUAAUUAGCUGCUUUGAUUAUGAAUAGUCAUUGGCUCAACUCUAUUUCUUUGGGAUGAAUAUUGAAAUAGUAAUUCAAUUCACAUAUAUAUUUACAUACAUAUCGAAAUAACUAGCCUUGCAUUGCUGAGUUGGCCGGCGGUGCGUGUGCAACGUACGCUGCACCAUAAAUCGUCUUGUAACGCGUUUUUUUAUUUCAUUUUUUUUGUUACUUUCGUCUGGGAAACCUUACCCGAACGUGAGCAGUAAAGGAGAUGUGUGGAAUUUAAGCACGAGGUGUCUCUUUUAAUAGGAAUACCAGUCGUAAAAAGCUAAUAAAUUGAAUCUGAAGAGGAGUUUCUUCUUGUCUAUGAUAAAACUGUGUAAAAAGAUUUAAACAACAUAUUAAUAGACCAAAUGAAACAAAAAAGCAAUAAAAAUAAAUAAUACAUAAUGCCAUCGGAUAGUUAAGCAUAAAUUAUAACAUUAUUUCUCCAAAUAGCUGAAAAACCCAACUUGAAAGGCGUUGCUAAGUGCUAACAUAAAACGAACUAAAUCUGUUUACUGCAACAAGUUAUAGUGUUAAUACAAGAUAAUAUCUCUGUAUAACAUCUAAUUUAUAAAAAUUAAAAAAAACGCACCACAAAAUUUAUUUACAAAAAACAAAACGUUAGUGUAAAAAUAUAUCCCGAUGGGCACUAAUUCAGGAGCAACAACCGGCAUAAAUAAUAAGCCCGUCGGUGCGGGUGGUGCAAGCGGAAGCAGCGUUGUUGGCGGCGGUGGCGGUGGUGGAAGCGGCGUGGGAGGGGUUGGCGGUGUUGGUGGUGUCGGCACUAACAGUUUGAGCGGUGUAGUUGGUGUUAGUAACCUUGGCGGUGGUAAUGCUAAUAAUGUGACCGGUGCUGGUGGUAUUAAUACCGGCAGCAACGGUAGUGAUGAUAGCGGUAAUGGUGGAGGGGGUGGUUCAAGUGGUCAAAACAAUCAACAAACUACUCCACAAUACACGAUUCCAGGCAUACUGCACUUUAUACAACACGAAUGGUCACGUUUCGAAUUGGAACGUUCGCAAUGGGAUGUGGAUAGAGCUGAAUUGCAGGCGCGCAUAGCAAUGCUAUUGGGCGAACGAAAAUGUCUCGAAAGCCUCAAAUCCGAUCUAACACGACGUAUUAAAAUGUUGGAAUACGCUUUACGGCAGGAGCGUGCAAAAUUCUAUCGACUCAAAUACGGCACUGAUCCGCCACAAUUGAACGAAUUGAAGCCACCAACCGAUGAUGCCGGUCUGGGUAGUGAGGUAGCGCCCGAUUCGGAAGUACCAUACAGUUCAGUAUCGAAUACAACCUGGCGACAGGGCAGACAAAUGCUCAGACAGUAUUUGGCCGAAAUCGGUUACACAGAUAAUAUAAUCGAUGUGCGUUCAAAUCGGGUGCGUUCAAUACUUGGUCUCAAUAACAACUCCGAACAGGAGGAGAAUGUCAGUCCAAAUAUAAAUGGCAAUGAGAACAAUAAACGUACAGCGGAAUCGGAGGGUCGUCGCACACCAGCUAAAAAAGCUCAGCAAAAUGAUGCCAUAAUUUUGGAUACUGAAGCAGCGGUAAUGGCUAAUUUCGAAUUUCUUGGUACUACCGAAAUGUCAGAUGACGAUGAGAUUUCCGAUGAUCUCGAAAUGGUAUCUGGCGAUAAUGAUGAUGCCGAUGUGAAAACUACAAAACGUAAUAAGAGUAGCAAGGAUUUGAUUAGUGAAGAUCUUGAUGCCGAGGUUGGGGAGCAGCUUCUGAAUGAUAUAAAUCUAAUAACCGAAGGAUACUCAUCACCGAAUACGACGGAACAAUUGAACAACACUGCUAAUAAUGCAGCUGCCUCAGCCGCGGCCCGACGUAAUCUUAUUACCGCUGUCACAGCCGGUGGCGAUGAGGAGGUUGACGCUUCGCUCGGUCUUGGUGAGCUCGCACAACUGACGGUGAACAACGAGGCGGAGAGUUCGUAUGAUGCGAACGCUAAGGAUGGCACUGGCGGCGGUACUGGCAGCUACCGUAAAACUUGGAACGCCAAAUAUACGCUGCGUUCUCAUUUCGAUGGUGUACGCUCAUUGAUUUUCCACCCAGAAGAGCCGGUGCUGAUUACUGCAUCUGAAGAUCACACACUGAAAUUGUGGAAUUUACAGAAGACGGUACAAGCCAAAAAGUCAGCUAGUCUCGAUGUCGAACCAUUAUACACAUUCAGAGCGCACACCGGCCCCGUACUGUGUCUCGGCAUGUCCACCACCGGUGAUGUUUGCUAUUCGGGCGGUUUGGAUGGUAAUAUUGAAUGCUGGCAGCUACCAUCGCCAAACAUCGAUCCAUACGAUUGUUACGAUCCGAGCGUGCAUUCAGGCACACUUGAAGGACACACAGACGCUGUGUGGGGUUUGACCACGAUGCAUAGCAAUAUUGUGUCAUGUUCAGCUGAUGGCACCGUUAAACUCUGGUCGCCGUACACCAAGGAACCGCUAUUGCGCACCUACACUGCUUCCGAGGCUGAGGGCACACCAUCGUCUGUUGAUUUUGUGCGCAAUGAAGUGGAUCACAUUGUGGUGGCGUAUAAUAGCGCUCAUUGUAUUGUUUACGAUACGGAAACCGGCAAACAGGUGGUCAAAUUGGAGGCUACUCAGGAGAUGUCUGGCAAUACGGGGAAAUUUAUCAAUAAAGUGGUAUCGCAUCCGACGCUGCCUAUAACAAUCACUGCGCACGAGGAUCGUCACAUACGCUUCUGGGAUAACGUUUCGGGGACGUUAAUACACUCAAUGGUGGCACAUUUGGAGCCGGUCACAUCACUGGCUGUCGACGCGCAUGGUCUGUAUUUGUUGUCGGGCUCACACGAUUGCUCGAUACGACUUUGGAAUUUGGACAAUAAGACAUGCGUGCAAGAGAUCACAGCGCAUCGUAAGAAAUUCGAUGAGAGCAUAUUUGAUGUGGCGUUCCAUGCUACUAAGCCAUACAUUGCUAGCGCUGGAGCGGAUGGCUUGGCUAAGGUGUUUGUUUAAGUAUGGAUUGCUUUUCAGCUAAGAGAAAUCAACAAUAAAAAGAAAAAGAAAACGAUAUCAACACCACCACCACCACCACCAUCAUCAUCAUCAUCAUUAUCACCACCUAAACAACCGGCUAGUUAAAUAACAUAGACAACCAAUAAUGCUGGGUGGGUGCGCUGGAUUGGAUGGAGGACGAGGAGUUGAAAAGCUGAGAUAAAUUACCAUGCUGUUGGCAAUGCAAAUACAAAAAUAGAUCUUAGUUGGAAGGACGGAGAUGUAGUUCUAUGUCGAAUAACAAGCAAGAAAAAUACCAGUUGAUGAACGUUUGAAGAAGAGUAGUAGUGCAAGUAGAGCUGUAGUUGGUUUAAAUUAACAAAAAAAAA